Molecule: ribosomal RNA, 497 nt
Filed under: uncultured bacterium
Lineage: Bacteria
Description: partial 16S ribosomal RNA
Rfam family: Bacterial small subunit ribosomal RNA
Source: RNAcentral
GAUGAACGCUGGCGGCGUGCUUAAUACAUGCAAGUCGAGCGAACGGACGAGAAGCUUGCUUCUCUGAUGUUUGCGGCGGACGGGUGAGUAACACGUGGAUACCCUACCUAUAAGACUGGGAUAACUUCGGGAAACCGGCGCUAAUACCGGAUAAUAUUUUACACCGUAUGGUUCAUAAGUGAAAGACGGUCUUGCUGUCACUUAUACAUGGCUCCGCGCUGCAUUAGCUAGUUGGUAAGGUAACGGCUUACCAAGGCAACGAUGCAUAGCCGACCUGAGAGGGUGAUCGGCCACACUGGAACUGAGACACGGUCCAGACUCCUACGAGAAGCAGCAGUAGGGAAUCUUCCGCAAUGGGCGAAAGCCUGACGGAGCAACGCCGCGUGAGAGAUAAAGGUCUUCUGAUCGUAAAACUGUGGUAUUAGGGAAGAACAUAUGUGUAAGUAACUGUGCACAUCUUGACGGUACCUAAUCAGAAAGCCACGGCUAACUACGUG